RNAcentral lists this small RNA (1144 nucleotides) under Pan troglodytes (chimpanzee). RNAcentral describes it as "retained intron". Lineage: Eukaryota; Metazoa; Chordata; Mammalia; Primates; Hominidae. The record is from RNAcentral.
GUGCUUUGGCCUUCACAGUGUUUUUUUGUUUUUUUUUUUAAAUGUGUGUAAGUUGCCAACACUUAAAAGAAUGAAGAGAUUUCCCAAUUACUAGCUUAAAAAUGUAAGCAUCUGGCAACCCUGGGUUUCCAUCCCCACAUGGUAAUUCCUGACAUGUCCUGUACUCCCCAGGGCCCCCGCCUGCCCCACAUAAGUUUGCAACCCCUGCUUGGAGAAGGAAUCCUGUCUUGAGGCCUUGGGGGCCGGCUCUUCAUCCUAUUCAUGGUUGUGUCUGUGGCACAUAGCUUGAUGCUUGAUAGGUCAUCAGUGCUCAGGAUUAAAAAGAACCGCAUGCUGGUGGGCCAGGCCCAUGGGCAGUUGCCAGUAUGCCUGAGGCUUUGGCUGGGACUUGAGGCCAGCUCCUGCCUUGACAGGAGUCCUCAGGGUCUGCCUCAGGGUGGGAAGGAAGGAGGUAGAAGCAGCUCUUCUCUCCUCCCCAGGACAAAGGCCAUGAUGGGGUCAAGGAGCUGGACAGCCUAAACAGUGACCGAUUGAGAACCGUCCAGCUCAAUGUCUGCAGCAGCGAAGAGGUGGAGAAAGCGGUGGAGAUUGUCCGCUCGAGCCUGAAGGACCCUGAGAAAGGGAUGUGGGGCCUCGUUAACAAUGCCGGCAUCUCAACGUUCGGGGAGGUGGAGUUCACCAGCCUGGAGACCUACAAGCAGGUGGCAGAAGUGAACCUUUGGGGCACAGUGCGGAUGACGAAAUCCUUUCUCCCCCUCAUCCGAAGGGCCAAAGGCCGCGUCGUCAAUAUCAGCAGCAUGCUGGGCCGCAUGGCCAACCCGGCCCGCUCCCCGUACUGCAUCACCAAGUUCGGGGUAGAGGCUUUCUCGGACUGCCUGCGCUAUGAGAUGUACCCCCUGGGCGUGAAGGUCAGCGUGGUGGAGCCCGGCAACUUCAUCGCUGCCACCAGCCUUUACAGCCCUGAGAGCAUUCAGGCCAUCGCCAAGAAGAUGUGGGACGAGCUGCCUGAGGUCGUGCGCAAGGACUACGGCAAGAAGUACUUUGAUGAAAAGAUCGCCAAGAUGGAGACCUACUGCAGCAGUGGCUCCACAGACACGUCCCCUGUCAUCGAUGCUGUCACACACGCCCUGACCGCCACCACCCC